AUACAUUUAAAGUGUAUUUAAAACACAUGGCUUCCCCAAAGGAUUCUUGGGACCUCUAAUUUACCCCUUACAGUUUUUCGAUUCUCCGCACUCUUAACAAACUCCAGUUCCCAGGAGUCAUUGAGGGAAGCCAUGUGUUUCAAAUGUAUGACCUAUAAGACAAACCCCCAAUUUGCUUCUCCCCCUCAAGGUAAAUUACAAGAUGCUGUUGUCUGCCGACAGUGUGCUACCAUGAGACCAUGGAUACCAUGCACGCCGUUAGGGAGAAGAUGCGCUGCCAUAAAGAACAAAAUGAUCUGCAUAAUCUUGAAAGUCUACAAAGGUUUCCAGCUGUGGCAGAAGGUCAUGGACUGCACGAAUGUGGAUGACAACAGGUGUGACCAAUGGAAUUUUGACAGGCGCACUGGCAAAAUGUACACAUUCU
Podarcis muralis (Common wall lizard) is the source of this 424-nucleotide non-coding RNA. The record is from RefSeq and is a predicted model, not a curated record. NCBI's taxonomy places the organism in Eukaryota, Metazoa, Chordata, Lepidosauria, Squamata, Lacertidae.